AGCGACGUCAAAGCGUAUACAAAGUCGAGUCGGUUUAAGGAUACGUUCGUUGGGUAGGGGAGCGUUCUGUAAGCCUGUGAAGGUGGCCUGUGAGGGUUGCUGGAGGUAUCAGAAGUGCGAAUGCUGACAUAAGUAACGAUAAAGCGGGUGAAAAGCCCGCUCGCCGGAAGACCAAGGGUUCCUGUCCAACGUUAAUCGGGGCAGGGUGAGUCGACCCCUAAGGCGAGGCCGAAAGGCGUAGUCGAUGGGAAACGGGUUAAUAUUCCCGUACUUGGUGUUACUGCGAAGGGGGGACGGAGAAGGCUAUGUUGGCCGGGCGACGGUUGUCCCGGUUUAAGCGUGUAGGUGUGUGUUCCAGGUAAAUCCGGUUCACUUUAACACUGAGGCGUGACGACGAGGCACUACGGUGCUGAAGCAACAAAUGCCCUGCUUCCAGGAAAAGCCUCUAAGCAUCAGGUAACAUCAAAUCGUACCCCAAACCGACACAGGUGGUCAGGUAGAGAAUACCAAGGCGCUUGAGAGAACUCGGGUGAAGGAACUAGGCAAAAUGGUGCCGUAACUUCGGGAGAAGGCACGCUGACACGUAGGUGAAGUGAUUUACUCACGGAGCUGAAGUCAGUCGAAGAUACCAGCUGGCUGCAACUGUUUAUUAAAAACACAGCACUGUGCAAACACGAAAGUGGACGUAUACGGUGUGACGCCUGCCCGGUGCCGGAAGGUUAAUUGAUGGGGUCAGCGCAAGCGAAGCUCCUGAUCGAAGCCCCGGUAAACGGCGGCCGUAACUAUAACGGUCCUAAGGUAGCGAAAUUCCUUGUCGGGUAAGUUCCGACCUGCACGAAUGGCGUAAUGAUGGCCAGGCUGUCUCCACCCGAGACUCAGUGAAAUUGAACUCGCUGUGAAGAUGCAGUGUACCCGCGGCAAGACGGAAAGACCCCGUGAACCUUUACUAUAGCUUGACACUGAACAUUGAGCCUUGAUGUGUAGGAUAGGUGGGAGGCUUUGAAGUGUGGACGCCAGUCUGCAUGGAGCCGACCUUGAAAUACCACCCUUUAAUGUUUGAUGUUCUAACGUGGACCCGUAAUCCGGGUUGCGGACAGUGUCUGGUGGGUAGUUUGACUGGGGCGGUCUCCUCCUAAAGAGUAACGGAGGAGCACGAAGGUUGGCUAAUCCUGGUCGGACAUCAGGAGGUUAGUGCAAUGGCAUAAGCCAGCUUGACUGCGAGCGUGACGGCGCGAGCAGGUGCGAAAGCAGGUCAUAGUGAUCCGGUGGUUCUGAAUGGAAGGGCCAUCGCUCAACGGAUAAAAGGUACUCCGGGGAUAACAGGCUGAUACCGCCCAAGAGUUCAUAUCGACGGCGGUGUUUGGCACCUCGAUGUCGGCUCAUCACAUCCUGGGGCUGAAGUAGGUCCCAAGGGUAUGGCUGUUCGCCAUUUAAAGUGGUACGCGAGCUGGGUUUAGAACGUCGUGAGACAGUUCGGUCCCUAUCUGCCGUGGGCGCUGGAGAACUGAGGGGGGCUGCUCCUAGUACGAGAGGACCGGAGUGGACGCAUCACUGGUGUUCGGGUUGUCAUGCCAAUGGCACUGCCCGGUAGCUAAAUGCGGAAGAGAUAAGUGCUGAAAGCAUCUAAGCACGAAACUUGCCCCGAGAUGAGUUCUCCCUGAGACUUAGAGUCUCCUGAAGGAACGUUGAAGACGACGACGUUGAUAGGCCGGGUGUGUAAGCGCAGCGAUGCGUUGAGCUAACCGGUACUAAUGAACCGUGAGGCUUAACCUUACA
This 1776-nucleotide ribosomal RNA is filed under the name Salmonella enterica subsp. enterica serovar Derby. RNAcentral describes it as "partial 23S ribosomal RNA". It matches the Rfam family "Bacterial large subunit ribosomal RNA", at positions 1198 to 2925 of the family's 2925-position model. Lineage: Bacteria; Pseudomonadati; Pseudomonadota; Gammaproteobacteria; Enterobacterales; Enterobacteriaceae. The record is from RNAcentral.